UUUAAAAUUGAGAGUUUGAUCCUGGCUCAGGACGAACGCUGGCGGCGUGCUUAACACAUGCAAGUCGAGCGAUGAAGCUUCCUUCGGGAAGUGGAUUAGCGGCGGACGGGUGAGUAACACGUGGGUAACCUGCCUCAAAGUGGGGGAUAGCCUUC
RNAcentral lists this ribosomal RNA (155 nucleotides) under Clostridium sporogenes. RNAcentral describes it as "partial 16S ribosomal RNA". It matches the Rfam family "Bacterial small subunit ribosomal RNA", at positions 1 to 151 of the family's 1533-position model. The record is from RNAcentral. Lineage: Bacteria; Bacillati; Bacillota; Clostridia; Eubacteriales; Clostridiaceae.